AGUCGUAACAAGGUUUCCGUAGGUGAACCUGCGGAAGGAUCAUUAGUGAAUAUUAGGGUGUCCAACUUAACUUGGAACCCGACCCUCACUUUCUAACCCUGUGCAUUUGUCUUGGGUAGUAGCUUGCGUCGGCGAGCGAAUCCCAUUUCACUUACAAACACAAAGUCUAUGAAUGUAACAAAUUUAUAACAAACAAAACUUUCAACAACGGAUCUCUUGGCUCUCGCAUCGAUGAAGAACGCAGCGAAAUGCGAUACGUAAUGUGAAUUGCAGAAUUCAGUGAAUCAUCGAAUCUUUGAACGCACCUUGCGCUCCAUGGUAUUCCGUGGAGCAUGCCUGUUUGAGUGUCAUGAAUACUUCAACCCUCCUCUUUCUUAAUGAUUGAAGAGGUGUUUGGUUUCUGAGCGCUGCUGGCCUUUACGGUCUAGCUCGUUCGUAAUGCAUUAGCAUCCGCAAUCGAACUUCGGAUUGACUCGGCGUAAUAGACUAUUCGCUGAGGAUUCUGGUCUCUGACUGGAGCCGGAUGAGAUUAAAGGAAGCUACUAAUCCUCAUGUCUAUCUUGUGAUUAGACCUCAAAUCAGGUAGGACUACCCGCUGAACUUAAGCAUAUCAAAAGUCG
This 620-nucleotide ribosomal RNA is filed under the name uncultured fungus. RNAcentral describes it as "eukaryotic LSU rRNA". The stretch from base 197 to 350 matches the Rfam family "5.8S ribosomal RNA". Lineage: Eukaryota; Fungi. The record is from RNAcentral.